RNAcentral lists this ribosomal RNA (492 nucleotides) under uncultured bacterium. Its description in RNAcentral is "partial 16S ribosomal RNA". It matches the Rfam family "Bacterial small subunit ribosomal RNA", at positions 29 to 507 of the family's 1533-position model. The record is from RNAcentral.
AGUGAACGCUGGCGGUAGGCCUAACACAUGCGAGUCGAACGGCAGCACAGUAAGAGCUUGCUCUUACGGGUGGCGAGUGGCGGACGGGUGAGGAAUACAUCGGAAUCUACUUUUUCGUGGGGGAUAACGUAGGGAGACUUACGCUAAUACCGCAUACGACCUACGGGUGAAAGCAGGGGAUCUUCGGACCUUGCGCGAUUGAAUGAGCCGAUGUCGGAUUAGCUAGUUGGCGGGGUAAAGGCCCACCAAGGCGAUGAUCCGUAGCUGGUCUGAGAGGAUGAUCAGCCACACUGGAACUGAGACACGGUCCAGACUCCUACGGGAGGCAGCAGUGGGGAAUAUUGGACAAUGGGCGCAAGCCUGAUCCAGCCAUACCGCGUGGGUGAAGAAGGCCUUCGGGUUGUAAAGCCCUUUUGUUGGGAAAGAAAAGCAGCAGGUUAAUACCCCGCUGUUCUGACGGUACCCAAAGAAUAAGCACCGGCUAACUUCGUG